AUGACAUUGCAUGACAACUUCCACCAAUAAUGGGCACAGCAUUUCCUUUGAAUGUGCCCAGUAAAUCAGUAGCUGUAUGUGACCUUUAAUAUAUAGCUACCUUCUAUUUCACAACUUCCUGAUGCAUGGAAAUCCUUUUUGUCUAGAUUUAGUACAACUGGGAAUUUUGAUCUCUUGUAGAAAUUUAUGAUGAGAGUUGUGAAAUAAGGUAAAAUAGUGGCCUCACAGCCCUGGAAGAUACCUUAGAAGUCAUACAGUCCAGUCACUGGGGCCCAGACAGAUGUCAGUGUUGGUGUUCAAUUAUGUUUGGAAAUAAAAUUUAAACAGUCAAAUGAAGGCCACUUUUUGGUUAGGAGGACUAUAGGAAAAUUUGAUCUGCUCACCCACAGGGGACUUUAUCACUAUAAAGUAAUCUUAUCUUUGGUACAAGUCAAAAUAAAAUGGCUUUUGGGUUCUUUUUCUGAGCAAUUCAGGGUAAGAAGUGAAAUUGAAUCAAGAUUUCCCUGCCUGUAGAGUUUCGUGGGCCUUUUGUGGGAAAUCUAGCUGACUUUUACCUAUGAAGCUGUCCUGUUAAUUCAUCUCACAAAAUGUGGCAAUUGUCCUAUUUGCUAUUUCAAUAAAUGAAAAUCAAGUACUGAUAGAGUACAGGUUUUUAUUUCCCCUGGAACAAGUGUUUGGCAUAUAAAGGGAGUUAUAAAAGACUGAAUGGUUGGAAUAAUUGGGGAAAGUAUAUUUCCAUUGUAUAUAUUCCCUAGCCAUAGUUGUACAGUCUAUCCACAUUCUUGCAUAGUUGGCCUCACAACAGAGUCCUAGACUAGUUAUUUUGAUGGGACUGUCUAUGUGUGUUAGAAUACUGUUUUGUGCACAGCUCCUAAACUUGCCCGUAAAUGUACUGAACUUGUGUAACUUUGAUGUCAGUGAUAUGGCACACUUAACCAAAAUAGAAUUCAGUGCCCUGAUUUCUGAAGAAGUCUGGAUUUAUUUAAACCAAAUUAGGCUCCGUGUUGAGCUUUCUUCUAAUGGUUUACAAAAUGAUGCCAGUACAUAACUCUUCUUGUCCAUAAUGAACUUGACAAACUAAUUGUCUGCAUUCCGGCAUCUGGACAACUUCCCUUCAAUGCCUGUUUCUUCUCAGUAUUGAAUUAAAUACCAUUGUUGACUUCAAAGGGCAUGUGUUUUGUUCCUUCAGGUAAUCCAGGUGUAUUUGUCACUGCUUAUUUUCCCUUCUGUGAGGGUCUCACCUUGUGUUUGUCUUUUGCACUGUUUAAUAUCUCUAGCUGUAAAAGUCUAACAUUAAUCAUUUCUCUUUUGUUUGUACUCCUUUCCCAUCC
RNAcentral lists this long non-coding RNA (1331 nucleotides) under Bos taurus (domestic cattle). RNAcentral's name for it is "long non-coding RNA NONBTAT017099". The record is from RNAcentral. Lineage: Eukaryota; Metazoa; Chordata; Mammalia; Artiodactyla; Bovidae.